UCCGUAGGUGAACCUGCGGAAGGAUCAUUACUGUGAUUUAAACUUCUUUCUUACACCGCGUGAGCGCACAACAACACCUAAACACGAAUAACCAUGUCACCCAGAGAAAAUCUCAAACGAGAAGAAAGAAAGAAAAAUAAAACUUUCAACAACGGAUCUCUUGGUUCUCGCAUCGAUGAAGAACGCAGC
Molecule: ribosomal RNA, 189 nt
Filed under: Pichia norvegensis
Lineage: Eukaryota; Fungi; Ascomycota; Pichiomycetes; Pichiales; Pichiaceae
Description: partial contains small subunit ribosomal RNA, internal transcribed spacer 1, and 5.8S ribosomal RNA
Rfam family: 5.8S ribosomal RNA (bases 141-189)
Source: RNAcentral